Molecule: long non-coding RNA, 300 nt
Filed under: Oryza brachyantha (malo sina)
Lineage: Eukaryota; Viridiplantae; Streptophyta; Magnoliopsida; Poales; Poaceae
Description: long non-coding RNA (OBRA_LNC001288)
Source: RNAcentral
AGGAACCAAACCAAGAUGCUGCUGCCACCGCCUUAGCUGGCCUGCUCUUCACGGAGAGGACACACACUUGCCAGGAUCAUCACUGCACUCCCCCAUCAGCAACUGUGCCUUUUCAUAGAGAAACCUCCCCAAAACCCAGAGCUUUGCAGUUGCAGGGCUUGGCAAUGGCGAUGGCCAUGGCGAUGCCGCCACCGUCCUCACGUCGCCCCCUCCCAGACCUCAUGCUGCUGCUGCUGCUUCUUCAUCUUCUUCUUGGCGGCCCAUGCGCCGUUUCAUCCCUCUCCGUCUCCGCUCCCCCCC